UACGAAGGGGCUAGCGUUGUUCGGAAUCACUGGGCGUAAAGCGCACGUAGGCGGAUUGCUAAGUCAGGGGUGAAAUCCUGGAGCUCAACUCCAGAACUGGCCUUGAUACUGGCGACCUUGAGUCCGGGAGAGGUGAGUGGAACUGCGAGUGUAGAGGUGAAAUUCGUAGAUAUUCGCAAGAACACCAGUGGCGAAGGCGGCUCACUGGCCCGGUACUGACGCUGAGGUGCGAAAGCGUGGGGAGCAACAGG
Molecule: ribosomal RNA, 251 nt
Filed under: uncultured bacterium
Lineage: Bacteria
Description: partial 16S ribosomal RNA
Rfam family: Bacterial small subunit ribosomal RNA
Source: RNAcentral